This 256-nucleotide unclassified non-coding RNA is filed under the name Hevea brasiliensis (rubber tree). Lineage: Eukaryota; Viridiplantae; Streptophyta; Magnoliopsida; Malpighiales; Euphorbiaceae. The record is from RNAcentral.
AUUCUUAAUCAUAAAAUGGCGAAGGAGACAUUUAUCGAUGUAUGACAAGGUUGAAGAUUUUCUUCGAAGUAACAAUAAUCUCAUGCCCAUCAUAUACUCUUAUUCAGAUAUCAAGAAGAUGACUAGAGGCUUUAAGGAUAAAUUAGGUGAGGGAGGCUUUGGUUCAGUAUACAAAGGGAAACUUGCAAGUGGGAGAACUAUAGCAAUAAAGAUACUGGGCAAGUCCAAAGCUAAUGGACAAGAAUUUAUCAAUGAA